Long non-coding RNA from Papaver somniferum (opium poppy), 1815 nucleotides. RefSeq lists it as uncharacterized. The record is from RefSeq and is a predicted model, not a curated record. Lineage: Eukaryota; Viridiplantae; Streptophyta; Magnoliopsida; Ranunculales; Papaveraceae. The transcript is spliced from 5 exons.
AGAAAUUCUCUCCUUUUGAGUCAUGUCAUUCCUAAUUUUUCUCUUCAUCCCGCCAUGUCACUGCCAUCUCAUUCCUACUUUAAAAACUUAAAAUUUUCCGUCUUUUUUUGCUGCACACGAAGGCAUCCCUCUUCCUAUUCUCCCUGACUUUUUUUCUCAUGAAACCCUACAUAGCCAGCAAAAGCAUUCUUCUAGCAUGUUGUCUUACGGAAAGAAAAGCUUAAAUCUCAAAGGGUUUAUGGUAACAAUCGUGUGGUUACACAGUAAAACCCAGUAGUUGCGUCGAUCGGUUUGUUUAGGAUUUUUCUUGAUAUGAUAUUUUCUUAUUGUUUGGUGAAGGAAAGUUUCCCUCUCCCUAUUCUCUCUGACUUUCUUUCUCAUUAAACCUAUAGCCGGCAAAAUCAUUGUUACACAGUAAAUCCAUGCAGUUAAAUCAUUGUUUUUGAUGAUUUUUAUGAUUCCGCUUGUUUGUUUUUUUUGUUCUUAACCUAAAUUAUGCAUUCGGCAGGAUUAGGGUAUGAUGAUCUUUACCACAAAUUCCUAACCCUACUUUCUGUCCUUAUCACGAUUUUAUCAUUACUCAUGAUAUUUGAUUUGUUUUCUUUUAUUUUGCAGGGAAGAUUUGUGUUGCGUACGACUAGGAGAGCUAAAUGCUAAGUCAUAUUAAAACCAUUAAUCUGUGUUGCAGAAGAAUUACUUUCAUAAAAACGCGACAUGACUGCAGUGAACAAAGUCUGUAUCGUGCAAAGAAUAAAAUUGAAUAUUUCAUACAGUUUGGUGCAGUCCAUAUGCGUGCAUAUGCAAGCUGGAAAAGAGCAUGUUAGACAAGUCUUUUCUAUGGUGGAAACUUCGAUCAAUUGACUAAAGCUAUCUCCAUGAGUUCCAGUCACAAUAUCAUCAGAAGAAUCAUUUUCAAGAGUAUUUCAACUGAAAACUUUAAGUGACUUGGAUACAUGUUGUUCUUCGCUGCCUUAAAUCGAUUACUAGGUUCAUGGAGAAUAAAACCUCAUCACCAGCUCAUCGUGGAGUCGUGAUAAUUAUGAAGAAAAUAAUACUUGGCUUGCGAUGGUACAUCCAAAAAAUAUUUAUGUGCUGCACUGAUAGAGGAUAUAUUAAGGCUAUCUUGGACUUUCCUACUAAUUACAAUAAGAAGCUCGAUUUCUUCAUAAUUCAAUUUUUGAUGAGAUCUUUCCAUUUUUUAUUAUAGGGGUUAAGGCGCCAAGCUCAACUUCUAAGACUCCAAAUACUCAAGGAUGAUAAAAUAGGAAGUCCAACUCCAAAUGGUGAACAGAUUGAGGGUUAAGGAAAUGAUGUGAAUUAUCCUAUCUCGAGACAGCUGAGAUUAUUCUUGAAAUGUAGAUGCAGGUGAAUGCUAUACAGGUUUGUCACGGAUGCAUCGGGUUACAAAUUUUUAUUUGAACUCCACGUCGAGUAUAUUAUGUGAACCUGAUAUGUGAAGUUAACAGUAUGAGAAAGUUCACUUGGUGGUGAUUAUAAUUAAAUUACAUCCAUUGACUACAUAUGAGGUUGAUUGGAGGAUAGUACCGAAAGAUUUGGGGAGUAUUGCUUGAAUAGUGGAUAUGGUAGAAAAAAACUUAAUUAUAUCCUUCUAUACUAUUGGAGGUAUGUUAAUUUUGGACCGAUAGUGAGGCGGGAGCUGGCAUUCAAGAGGUUUAUAUUAUCCCAUUUAACCGGCCUGACUGACAAGGGAAUUCUUAACAUUUAUGCAAAAUGAAGAAGAAACCUAUGUAAUAUAUGCCCAGUUCUAUUGUUGUUGAAUUUACAUUCUAUGUAGCAAGUGCUACUUUUUUUGAA